RNAcentral lists this transfer RNA (72 nucleotides) under Caldibacillus debilis GB1. It matches the Rfam family "tRNA". Rfam says of the family: Transfer RNA (tRNA) molecules are approximately 80 nucleotides in length. Their secondary structure includes four short double-helical elements and three loops (D, anti-codon, and T loops). The record is from Rfam by way of RNAcentral. Lineage: Bacteria; Bacillati; Bacillota; Bacilli; Caryophanales; Bacillaceae.
GCCCGUUUCGUCUAACCGGGAGGACGCCCGCCUUGUAAGCGGGAAAUGCAGGUUCAAAUCCUGCAACGGGCU